UGGGGAAUAUUGCACAAUGCGCGCAAGCCUGAUGCAGCCAUGCCGCGUGUAUGAAGAAGGCCUUCGGGUUGUAAAGUACUUUCAGCGGGGAGGAAGGUGUUGUGGUUAAUAACCGCAGCAAUUGACGUUACCCGCAGAAGAAGCACCGGCUAACUCCGUGCCAGCAGCCGCGGCAAUACGGAGGGUGCAAGCGUUAAUCGGACUUACUGGGCGUAAAGCGCACGCAGGCGGUCUGUCAAGUCGGAUGUGAAAUCCCCGGGCUCAACCUGGGAACUGCAUUCGAAACUGGCAGGCUAGAGUCUUGUAGAGGGGGGUAGAAUUCCAGGUGUAGCGGUGAAAUGCGUAGAGAUCUGGAGGAAUACCGGUGGCGAAGGCGGCCCCCUGGACAAAGACUGACGCUCAGGUGCGAAAGCGUGGGGAGCAAACA
Molecule: ribosomal RNA, 427 nt
Filed under: uncultured bacterium
Lineage: Bacteria
Description: partial 16S ribosomal RNA
Rfam family: Bacterial small subunit ribosomal RNA
Source: RNAcentral